This 450-nucleotide ribosomal RNA is filed under the name uncultured bacterium. RNAcentral describes it as "bacterial SSU rRNA". It matches the Rfam family "Bacterial small subunit ribosomal RNA", at positions 29 to 524 of the family's 1533-position model. The record is from RNAcentral.
AACGAACGCUGGCGGCAGGCCUAACACAUGCAAGUCGAACGCACCGCAAGGUGAGUGGCGCACGGGUGAGUAACACGUGGGAAUGUACCCUUUGGUUCGGAAUAACGUUUGGAAACGAACGCUAAUACCGGAUGAGCCCUGUGGGGGAAAGAUUUAUCGCCAAAGGAGCAGCCCGCGUCUGAUUAGCUAGUUGGUGGGGUAAAGGCCUACCAAGGCGACGAUCAGUAGCUGGUCUGAGAGGAUGAUCAGCCACACUGGGACUGAGACACGGCCCAGACUCCUACGGGAGGCAGCAGUGGGGAAUAUUGGACAAUGGGCGGAAGCCUGAUCCAGCCAUGCCGCGUGAGUGAUGAAGGCCUUCGGUUGUUAAAGGCUCUUUCGUCACGCGACGAUGAUGACGGUAGCGUGAGAAGAAGCCCCGGCUAACUUCGUGCCAGCAGCCGCGGUAAU